UCCAUAGGCAUUGACCUGAUGCCUGAAUAGGGUAGGGCAGAGGAAUUCCCGGGUAGCGGUGAUAUGCGUAGAUAUCGGGAAGAACACCAGUGGCGAAGGCGCUCUGCUGGUCAUUACUGACGCUCAUGGACGAAAGGCCAGGGGAGCGAAAGGGAUUAGAUACCCCUGUAGUCCUGGCCGUAAACGAUGAACACUAGGUGUCGGGGGAAUCGACCCCUUCGGUGUCGUAGCUAACGCGUUAAGUGUUCCGCCUGGGGAGUACGCACGCAAGUGUGAAACUCAAAGGAAUUGACGGGGGCCCGCACAAGCGGUGGAGUAUGUGGUUUAAUUCGAUGCAACGCGAAGAACCCUUACCCAGGGUUUGACAUCCUGCGAACCUCUUAGAAAUUUGAGGGUGCCUUCGGGAAUGCAGUGACAGGUGGUGCAUGGCUGUCGUCAGCUCGUGUCGUGAGAUGUUGGGUUAAGUCCCGCAACGAGCGCAACCCACGUUUUUAGUUGCCAGCAUUUAGUUGGGCACUCUAGAAAGACCGCCGGUGAUAAACCGGAGGAAGGUGUGGAUGACGUCAAGUCAUCAUGCCCCUUACACCCUGGGCUACACACGUACUACAAUGCUACGGACAAAGGGCAGCAAACUCGCGAGAGCUAGCAAAUCCCAUAAACCGUGGCUCAGUUCAGAUCGUAGGCUGCAACUCGCCUACGUGAAGUAGGAAUCGCUAGUAAUCGCAGGUCAGCAUACUGCGGUGAAUACGUUCCCGGGCCUUGUACACACCGCCCGUCACACCAUGGAAGUUGGCCAUGCCCGAAGUCGUUACUCCAACCCUUGUGGAGGAGGACGCCGAAGGUGGGGCUAAUGACUGGGGUGAAGUCGUAACAAGGUAA
This 879-nucleotide ribosomal RNA is filed under the name uncultured bacterium. RNAcentral's name for it is "bacterial SSU rRNA". It matches the Rfam family "Bacterial small subunit ribosomal RNA", at positions 620 to 1499 of the family's 1533-position model. The record is from RNAcentral.